This 385-nucleotide ribosomal RNA is filed under the name uncultured bacterium. RNAcentral describes it as "bacterial SSU rRNA". It matches the Rfam family "Bacterial small subunit ribosomal RNA", at positions 28 to 425 of the family's 1533-position model. The record is from RNAcentral.
GAUGAACGCUAGCGGCGGGCCUAAUACAUGCAAGUCGAACGGUGCAGCAAUGCAUAGUGGCAGACGGGUGCGUAACGCGUAUGCAACCUACCUUCAAUCGGGGGACAACAUUUCGAAAGAAGUGCUAAUACCGCGUAAGAUAGUAGUGGGACAUCCCACAGCUAUUAAACUCACGGGGAUUGAAGAUGGGCAUGCGUCUGAUUAGCUAGUUGGCGGGUAAAGCCCACCAAGGCGACGAUCAGUAGGGGAACUGAGAGGUUGAUCCCCCACACUGGCACUGAGAUACGGGCCAGACUCCUACGGGAGGCAGCAGUAGGGAAUAUUGGGCAAUGGAGGCAACUCUGACCCAGCCACGCCGCGUGCAGGAGGAAGGCGCUCUGCGUUG